GGAUCAUUACCGAGUUUUCGGGCUUUCGCUCGACUCUCCCACCCUUUGUGAACGUACCUCUGUUGCUUUGGCGGCUCCGGCCGCCAAAGGACCUCCAAACUCCAGUCAGUAAACGCAGACGUCUGAUAAACAAGUUAAUAAACUAAAACUUUCAACACCGGAUCUCUUGGUUCUGGCAUCGAUGAAGAACGCAGCGAAAUGCGAUAAGUAAUGUGAAUUGCAGAAUUCAGUGAAUCAUCGAAUCUUUGAACGCACAUUGCGCCCCUUGGUAUUCCGGGGGGCAUCCCUGUUCGAGCGUCAUUACAACCCUCAAGCUCUGCUUGGAAUUGGGCACCGUCCUCACUGCGCACGUGCCUCAAAGACCUCGGCGGUGGCUGUUCAGCCCUCAGGCGUAGUAGAAUACACCUCGCUUUGGAGUGGUUGGCGUCCCCCGCCGGACGAACCUUCUGAACUUUUCUCAGGGUUGACCUCGGAUCAGGUAGGGAUACCCGCUGAACUUAAGCAUAUCAAUA
This 512-nucleotide ribosomal RNA is filed under the name Lasiodiplodia pseudotheobromae. RNAcentral's name for it is "eukaryotic LSU rRNA". The stretch from base 147 to 300 matches the Rfam family "5.8S ribosomal RNA". The record is from RNAcentral. Lineage: Eukaryota; Fungi; Ascomycota; Dothideomycetes; Botryosphaeriales; Botryosphaeriaceae.